Long non-coding RNA from Bubalus bubalis (water buffalo), 573 nucleotides. RefSeq lists it as uncharacterized. The transcript has 2 exons. Lineage: Eukaryota; Metazoa; Chordata; Mammalia; Artiodactyla; Bovidae. The record is from RefSeq and is a predicted model, not a curated record.
UGUGGUCAGGAUUCCUAUUCCCACAGGCUUCAUAUUAAGCCCCAUUGUCCAUCUCUUUCUUUCUAGAUUCCCCAGCCUCUAGGGGUAGCUUAGCCCUCCACCCUAAGAGAAACCGAGACAGGAGUGAGUCAGACAUUCCUCCCUUGCCGACUCACCCAGACUGCCUGGGAUCAGAAUCAGCCAACACCCAUUGCAAACUCACUGGUUACACCCGCCAGCCUCACACUGAUACCCACCCAGCUGUGCCUCUAAGGGUGGUGCGUGGCUUGCUGUUUCUCGGAGGCCCACACCCUCUCUGCAGCUUUACCCUCUACUUUAACCCUCCUACAGAAGCACAGAAACACGUGAUCCUGGCCCCUGGGAGGCACCUCCAGUUUCUUAGGAGUCAGGACAGAGGAAGAGCUGCCUUUAGAAGCAGAUGACUUACAAGUUCUGGGGGAUCCAGCUUUGACAGUCUCACAUAAAGCCAUUCUGGGCCCAGCCAAGGAGCCAUCACCCCUAAAGACAAAGAACCCUGUAGAAGUUGGGCAUUCAGAAUGAAGAGUUCUUAAUAAAAUAAAGCUUUCGUUUGGA